UACGUAGGUGGCGAGCGUUGUCCGGAAUCAUUGGGCGUAAAGAGCGCGUAGGCGGCUUGUCAGGUCCGAUGUGAAACCCUGGGGCUCAACCCCAGGCGUGCAUCGGAAACCGGCUUGCUAGAGUCUGGGAGAGGGGAGUGGAAUUCCUGGUGUAGCGGUGAAAUGCGUAGAUAUCAGGAGGAACACCGGUUGCGAAGGCGGCUUCCUGGAACAGUACUGACGCUGAGGCGCGAAAGCUAGGGGAGCGAACAGG
Molecule: ribosomal RNA, 253 nt
Filed under: uncultured prokaryote
Description: partial 16S ribosomal RNA
Rfam family: Bacterial small subunit ribosomal RNA
Source: RNAcentral